UCUUUUAGGAAUUUUGCACAAUUUCUGAAACACAGAGAAGUCUGCAUUUUGCUUUCCAGCAAAAAUGGAAUCAGAAGAGUGAGGGAGAAAUCAACACUAUUCAUACCUGGAGCAAAGUUUUCUGAAAAGCUUUCUGGACUAUUCCUGAGUUUCUCCUUUGAUAAGUGGUGAUACUGAAGCCAGAGAACCACUUCCUUCCGAAGACGUACAUUUAGGCAAGAACAAGAAACAGGUUGGUCAGCUCUCCUGCACUCUUGCCAUCACUGAGAAGAAGGUGCCUUGACUAGCCCCCUGUUCAAGGAGGAUAAACACACAGGGAACAGUAUUUCCUAGCUCACUCGCUGACCUGCAACUUGAAGCAGAGCCG
This is a long non-coding RNA of Orcinus orca (killer whale), 367 nucleotides long. RefSeq lists it as uncharacterized. The transcript is spliced from 3 exons. The record is from RefSeq and is a predicted model, not a curated record. NCBI's taxonomy places the organism in Eukaryota, Metazoa, Chordata, Mammalia, Artiodactyla, Delphinidae.